Molecule: ribosomal RNA, 511 nt
Filed under: uncultured bacterium
Lineage: Bacteria
Description: bacterial SSU rRNA
Rfam family: Bacterial small subunit ribosomal RNA
Source: RNAcentral
CAGAUUGAACGCUGGCGGCGUGCUUAACACAUGCAAGUCGAACGCGAAAGGGACUUCGGUCCUGAGUAAAGUGGCGCACGGGUGAGUAACGCGUGGAUAAUCUGCCCUUAUGAUCGGGAUAACAGUUGGAAACGGCUGCUAAUACCGGAUACGCUCAAAAUGAACUUUUUGAGGAAAGAUGGCCUCUGCUUGCAUGCUAUCACGUAAGGAUGAGUCUGCGUCCCAUUAGCUUGUUGGCGGGGUAACGGCCCACCAAGGCAACGAUGGGUAGCCGAUUUGAGAGGAUGAUCGGCCACACUGGAACUGAAACACGGUCCAGACUCCUACGGGAGGCAGCAGUGGGGAAUAUUGCGCAAUGGGCGAAAGCCUGACGCAGCGACGCCGCGUGAGGGAUGAAAGGUUUUCGGAUCGUAAACCUCUGUCAGAAGGGAAGAAACUACGUUGUGCUAAUCAGCAGCGUACUGACGGUACCUUCAAAGGAAGCACCGGCUAACUCCGUGCCAGCAGCUGC